CAGGAUGAACGCUAGCUACAGGCUUAACACAUGCAAGUCGAGGGGCAGCAUCAUCAAAGCUUGCUUUGAUGGAUGGCGACCGGCGCACGGGUGAGUAACACGUAUCCAACCUGCCGACAACACUGGGAUAGCCUUUCGAAAGAAAGAUUAAUACCGGAUGGCAUAAUUAUUCCGCAUGGGAUAAUUAUUAAAGAAUUUCGGUUGUCGAUGGGGAUGCGUUCCAUUAGGCAGUUGGCGGGGUAACGGCCCACCAAACCUACGAUGGAUAGGGGUUCUGAGAGGAAGGUCCCCCACAUUGGAGCUGAGACACGGUCCAAACUCCUACGGGAGGCAGCAGUGAGGAAUAUUGGUCAAUGGACGAGAGUCUGAACCAGCCAAGUAGCGUGAAGGAUGACUGCCCUAUGGGUUGUAAACUUCUUUUAUACGGGAAUAAAGUGAGCCACGUGUGGCUUUUUGUAUGUACCGUAUGAAUAAGGAUCGGCUAACUCCGUGCCAGCAGCCGCGGUAAUACGGAGGAUUCGAGCGUUAUCCGGAUUUAUUGGGUUUAAAGGGAGCGUAGGCGGGUUGUUAAGUCAGUUGUGAAAGUUUGCGGCUCAACCGUAAAAUUGCAGUUGAUACUGGCGACCUUGAGUGCAACAGAGGUAGGCGGAAUUCGUGGUGUAGCGGUGAAAUGCUUAGAUAUCACGAAGAACUCCGAUUGCGAAGGCAGCUUACUGGAUUGUAACUGACGCUGAUGCUCGAAAGUGUGGGUAUCAAACAGGAUUAGAUACCCUGGUAGUCCACACAGUAAACGAUGAAUACUCGCUGUUGGCGAUAUACAGUCAGCGGC
This 829-nucleotide ribosomal RNA is filed under the name uncultured bacterium. Its description in RNAcentral is "bacterial SSU rRNA". It matches the Rfam family "Bacterial small subunit ribosomal RNA", at positions 25 to 847 of the family's 1533-position model. The record is from RNAcentral.